UACGUAGGGGGCAAGCGUUGUCCGGAAUCAUUGGGCGUAAAGCGCGUGUAGGCGGCUUGGUAAGUCCGCUCUGAAAGCCCCGGGCUCAACUCGGGAACUGCGCUUGAUACUGUCGAGCUAGAGUGUGGAAGGGGCGAUUGGAAUUCCGUGUGUAGCGGUGAAAUGCGUAGAUAUACGGAGGAACACCAGAGGCGAAGGCGGAUCGCUGGGCCAACACUGACGCUGAGACGCGAAAGCUAGGGUAGCAAACGGG
Molecule: ribosomal RNA, 253 nt
Filed under: uncultured bacterium
Lineage: Bacteria
Description: partial 16S ribosomal RNA
Rfam family: Bacterial small subunit ribosomal RNA
Source: RNAcentral